Molecule: ribosomal RNA, 250 nt
Filed under: uncultured bacterium
Lineage: Bacteria
Description: partial 16S ribosomal RNA
Rfam family: Bacterial small subunit ribosomal RNA
Source: RNAcentral
GGAUGAAUUUUUCUCAAUGGGGGAAACCCUGAAGGAGCGACGCCGCGUGGGGGAUGAAUGGCUUCGGCCCGUAAACCCCUGUCAUUUGCGAUCAAACCUCACAGCCUAACACGCUGUGAGCUGAUAGUAGCGGAAGAGGAAGGGACGGCUAACUCUGUGCCAGCAGCCGCGGUAAUACAGAGGUCCCAAGCGUUGUUCGGAUUCACUGGGCGUAAAGGGUGCGUAGGCGGUCGGGUAAGUCUGAUGUGAA